AUUGAACGCUGGCGGCAGGCCUAACACAUGCAAGUCGAGCGGCAGCGACAACAUUUGAAUCUUCGGAGGAUUUGUUGGGCGGCGAGCGGCGGACGGGUGAGUAAUGCCUAGGAAAUUGCCCUGAUGUGGGGGAUAACCAUUGGAAACGAUGGCUAUACCGCAUGAUGCCUACGGGCCUAAAGAGGGGGACCUUUCGGGCCUUCUCGCGUCAGGAUAUGCCUAGGU
Molecule: ribosomal RNA, 225 nt
Filed under: uncultured bacterium
Lineage: Bacteria
Description: partial 16S ribosomal RNA
Rfam family: Bacterial small subunit ribosomal RNA
Source: RNAcentral